AGCUUUAUAUUCAAUAAUGAUAUAAAAUUGCAAAUUUUAAGGAAUAUUUUAAUAAAUAUUAAGGCUU
Molecule: transfer RNA, 67 nt
Filed under: Bombyx mandarina (wild silkworm)
Lineage: Eukaryota; Metazoa; Arthropoda; Insecta; Lepidoptera; Bombycidae
Description: tRNA-Cys
Source: RNAcentral